UAGGUACUCCCUCCGUCCGAAAAAACUUGUCCCUCAAAUGGAUGUAUCUAGCACCAACUUGGUGCUAGAUACAUCCAUUUGAGGAACGAGCUUGGGACAAGCUUUUCCAGACGGAGGGAGUAUAAC
Non-coding RNA from Triticum aestivum (bread wheat), 126 nucleotides. The record is from Rfam. Lineage: Eukaryota; Viridiplantae; Streptophyta; Magnoliopsida; Poales; Poaceae.